CAAGUACUCCCCGUCCGAAAUUACUUGUCAUCAAAAUGGAUGUGUCUAGAACUAAAAUACAUCUAGAUACAUCCAUUUCAAUGACAAGUAUUUUUGGACGGAGGGAGUACAAG
This is a non-coding RNA of Triticum aestivum (bread wheat), 113 nucleotides long. NCBI's taxonomy places the organism in Eukaryota, Viridiplantae, Streptophyta, Magnoliopsida, Poales, Poaceae. The record is from Rfam.